Molecule: ribosomal RNA, 950 nt
Filed under: uncultured archaeon
Lineage: Archaea
Description: bacterial SSU rRNA
Rfam family: Archaeal small subunit ribosomal RNA
Source: RNAcentral
UUCCGGUUGAUCCUGCCGGACCCCACUGCUAUCGGGAUGGGACUAAGACAUGCUAGUCGAGCGUCUCCAAGCUAUGGAAGAGACGCGGCACACAGCUCAGUAACACGUGGCUAACCUGCCCUUGGGACAAGGACAACUCCGGGAAACUGGGGCUAAUCCCUGAUAAGUGAGAACUCCUGGAAUGGAUUCUCGCUCAAAGGACGUCUAGACCAUGCUUCUAGGCGUCGCCCAAGGAGGGGGCCGCGACCGAUCAGGUUGUUGGUGAGGUAACGGCUCACCAAGCCUUUAACCGGUACGGGCCGUGAGAGCGGAAGCCCGGAGAUGGGCACUGAGACAAGGGCCCAGGCCCUACGGGGCGCAGCAGUCGCGAAAACUCCGCAAUACACGAAAGUGUGACGGGGCCAUCCCGAGUGCCAUCCGCUGAGGAUGGCUUUUCCCCAGUGUAUAAAGCUGGGGGAAUAAGGAGAGGGCAAGCCUGGCGUCAGCCGCCGCGGUAAUACCAGCUCUCCGAGUGGUGGGGAUGUUUAUUGGGCCUAAAGCAUUCGUAGCCUGCUUGACAAGUCCUCCGUUAAAUCCAACGAUCCAAUCGUUGGGCUGCGGGGGAUACUGUCCAGCUAGGGGGCGGGAGAGGCCGACGGUAUCCCCGGGGUAGGGGUGAAAUCCUAUAAUCCCGGGAGGACCACCAGUGGCGAAGGCUGUCGGCUAGAACGCGCUCGACGGUGAGGGAUGAAAGCUGGGGGAGCGAACCGGAUUAGAUACCCGGGUAGUCCCAGCUGUAAACGAUGCAGGCUAGGUGUCGGCGCGGCUACGUGCCGCUCCAGUGCCGCAGGAAAGCCGUUAAGCCUGCCGCCUGGGAAGUACGGCCGCAAGGCUGAAAUUUAAAGGAAUUGGCGGGGGAGCACCACAAGGUGUGAAGCUUGCGGUUUAAUUGGAGUCAACGCCGGGAAUCA